This 368-nucleotide unclassified non-coding RNA is filed under the name uncultured Chloroflexota bacterium. RNAcentral describes it as "uncultured Chloroflexi bacterium contains 16S-23S intergenic spacer region". Lineage: Bacteria; Bacillati; Chloroflexota. The record is from RNAcentral.
UCCGACUUCUGGCCGGCAGUCUCGCCAGAACUUCUAACUGGCGACGAGGGUUGCGCUCGUUGCGGGACUUAACCCAACACCUCACGGCACGAGCUGACGACAGCCGUGCAGCACCUGUGCACGCUCCCCGAAGGGUCCCUUGGCUUUCACCGCAGUACCACGUGCAUGUCAAGCCCUGGUAAGGUUCUUCGCUUAGCGUCGAAUUGAACCACACGCUCCCCCGCUUGUGCGGGCCCCCGUCAAUUCCUUUGAGUUUUAACCUUGCGGCCGUACUCCCCAGGCGGGACACUUAUCGCGUUAGCUCCGGCCCUCAACCGGUCUUGUUCCCGGCCGAAGACCUAGUGUCCAUCGUUUACAGCGUGGACUAC